UUUUUUAAAAGGGGAUCCGGGUCAGAUGAGUUAUAUUUUAGGCAUGUUUGGGUUUUUUUGUUUUGUUUUGGGAUUGGUUCUUUCAAUCAAACGGUGCCACAUGUCAUGUCCGUUAAAAUAGGGAUAAAUAUAGAACUUUGUUGGACGGCAGGGGUAUAUAUGAACGAAAAGUAUAACGGGAAUGAGAUUGAAUAAUAAAUAAAACAAUAAAUAAAAGUAGAGAGAUAUAUUUGGCCAUUUUCCGUACAUGAUAUACCUACCCAAUUGAAACUAAUUACCCAAGCUACCUACCCAUCCCACUUUUCUUAUCCAUUUGGCUUAAUAUAACUUAAUUUGGUUUGGAUUCGUUUGACUUAGUUUGGAUUGAACUUGGCUUGGCUUGGCUUGGCUUGGCUUCCCAUGUCCUCGCUUUGGUGUACUGGAUUUAUCGACUAGCAAAUCAGAAGCAACCCCCGAGGCUUAAAAAACACUAGGAUUCACUUCAUUUUUUGGAUCCUAUGUCUCUUUUUUUUGUCCUGUUGAAAUUUUAUGUUUAGGGAUCUUUGAAUUGCUUGAGAAUUUCAGUUGUUGAAAGUUGAAUGGGGUUAUUUGGUUUGUAAAUUUUGUUAUAGACUGGAUAUUUUGUGCUUCAACUUGUACUGGGUUGGAACCCCUUGGUCCCUUCUUACCACAAUUUCACUUUUGGUUAAUGAUUGGCAACUUUAGAUAUUAGAAUUUCUUGAGAAUUUGGGUUCUUGAAAUUUUAAUAGGUAAUCUGUUAUCUAACCUAGACAUGAAUAUGAGCUUCCUAUUCCCUUUUUUUUUUAAAAUUUUUUAUUGUUAAAGUUAUUUCAUUGAAAAUCUAGCAUCAAGAAAGUGUAAAGGUAUAUACAUAGGGAGCAGAUUAUCGCUGCUGCAAGUGUAAAGAGCUCAAAAAAUCUAUAAUGCCUGCCCCUCUAACCUUCUUCACCUUAAAUAUCAGGCUUUUGUAUGCAACAAGGUUCGGAUAUGUGACGUGUGCUUAAUCCACAUAUCACGCAUUACACUCUUACCACUAGACCAAAGCCUUGGGACUAUCUAUUACUCACGAUGAGUAAAAUGUGAUGAGAUAAUCUAACUUUAGAAUCUUUUUAUUUGAUUAAGAAAGAAAGAGGAAAAGAAGCAAUGAGCUGUUUGUGCUUGUAGCAUUUCAAAAUUGUUGAAAUUUGAGCAUGCAUCAACACUUAUAUGCUGUUCUCAACUUUUGAGAAGCUACAGGAAUCUAGAAGAGGAAUUAAGAAGAAAAGAAAAACGAGUUUCCAAAUUGGGUUCGCAGUUAGCAACUUUGAUUUUUGUGUUCUAUAAGUCCAUUUAAGCUCAAAUGAUCAUGAUUUUGAUUAAAAGAUUCAUUUGAAAUUGUGUUUUUUCCUAUAUUCUACUUUCUACCCCUUGAUCCAAUUUAUAUGCGACAUUUUCUAUUUAGCGAGUCCCCAAAUAUGACAUUCAAAAAUUCAGAAACUUAUGUUCAAUCAAUUUUUUGAGUUUGAACUUUGAUGAUGCUGUUUGAUCAUACUGACUUUUCAAGAACUAUUCAAAUGCUUUCAUCCACUUUAGCUUACAUAAUAACAAAUCAAAAAAAUUUUUUUAAGCUUUGUUAUCAAGUCAAAUGGUGUUGCAUAAAUGGGAGAGUGGGAGUAUUUGUGAUGCUAAUGACCCAUCCAAGAUAAUGCAUUUACUUUAUUUUGGAUUCACAGUGGGUUAAUAAUUUCUUAAGAUCCAGAGGGUUAAACAAAACUCUCUUCUUGUCAAUUGAAGAAUUUUGUGUGAGAAAAUCCUGUGUUUUCGUAUUUAUUCCUUCGUUGUUCUUUCGUUAUGGUGGUUCGAGGCUUUUGUUUAAUAUACUGAUUCUACAUUCUUCAUCCAUAUUCAAAUGGUUUUCUUCUUUUAAAAUUCUUUUUAGAUUUGUUCAUCAAAUUCAAAUGAUUUUGUUCUUUUAAAUUUCUUUUUAGAUUUUGUUUUUUCUCUUUAUGUAUUCCUACUAUUAAUAAGCGGGAAACGAGAGCUGCAUCCGGUUAGAAAGCGGCUCAGAAGGGUGUUUGUAAUUUAAUCAAAAUGCCUAACAUUAUAAUUCGACACAUCCUGCCCGCUCUCUCCAGGUUUGACACGUUGCUACCUAGCAAAAUUUUGGGUUGCACUCGGCUUCCUCUGUUUUCUUUGUGCAAAUCUUUGAUGAUUUCUCAAGUUCCCGCUCUUCUUUACUCCGUCUUUCAGUUUGCCCAGACUAGCUCUUCCAAGUUCUUGCUAUUUGUCUGAUAUAAAGUACAGGCAAAAUAGCCGGAGUGUUCCAUGGAUCACAAGUUAUGGAUAUUUCAUGGCAUAUCGACGACGCAUUGUUGCGAGAAUGAUCAAGUUGUAGAUCCUGUUUGGAUUGACAAAAUUAAGGGAAAUUUUGCUACAUCCAUGUCAAACAUCACCUAGGUGGACUUGAAGAUGCAGGUGGGUAAGAACAACAAGGAUAUUAAAUUUGAAGAAGAAACAGAGGAGCCAAGAUUGGGAAAGUUUGUGAACUUAGGUUUGUACUUUGCGAAAGAUACAGAGUCCCUGAUGAGGUGGUUGAGAACAGCAAGGGUACAGAUUUUGUUGCAGAAGAAGAGGAGCCAAAAUUCGCAAUGGCUGUGGAAGACAUCAAGUUGAGUUCUCCUAAGAAUAGGGAGUCCAAUACCAAUGAGGUUGUCAAAUCAGACAUCUGAACGUGGAGACAACAAAAUUGACACUAUCCAAAGAUGUUGAAAGUCUGUAGAAGACAUCAAGUUGAAUUAUCCUAAGAAUAGGAAGUCCAAUGCUAAUGAGGUUGUCAAAUCAAAACAUCUGAACAUGGAAACAACAAAAUUGACACUAUCCAAAGAUGUUGAGGAGCUAUAGUCUAAGAUAAAUUCGCUGGAUGCUCAUCUAAUUGAGGUGAUAUGUGUACAAGGAAUGUUAAGGAGCAGUUUUGGAGUCAAAAAUUGGAGAAAAGAGGCCAAAUAUGUAAAUUCCCAAUGAAGCCACGCCCUGCUAGCCCUUAGAAUUCAGAGAACUGGUUUGGCCGCGGUUCUACCGCGACCGCGGCAGAACCGCGGUGGAAAGCAGCUGCAGAACUUCAGUGAUUCCGCGAG
Nicotiana attenuata is the source of this 3113-nucleotide long non-coding RNA. RefSeq lists it as uncharacterized. The record is from RefSeq and is a predicted model, not a curated record. NCBI's taxonomy places the organism in Eukaryota, Viridiplantae, Streptophyta, Magnoliopsida, Solanales, Solanaceae. The transcript has 6 exons.